RNAcentral lists this unclassified non-coding RNA (493 nucleotides) under Anemocarpa saxatilis. RNAcentral describes it as "partial external transcribed spacer". Lineage: Eukaryota; Viridiplantae; Streptophyta; Magnoliopsida; Asterales; Asteraceae. The record is from RNAcentral.
UUUUGGCUAGUGACGGCCAUCCUUGCAUUUGAGCUUGGUUGGUGGCUACUAGUUGAGUGGUUUCGGAGAUGUCAACCGUAAAGGUGCAUGAGUGGUGUUUGGUUUGUUACGGGUGGUUGGCUCCUUGCUUGCGCAACCAACUUCCACCUGGCUUACCUGUUCAAUUUUGUUUCAAUGCUUGGAUUGCAUUGAACGCACGUUGGGUUUCUUGUGUUGCCUGCCUAAUUGAUGGUAUCGCGUGGUAAAUUGAUAAUUGUUUCGUCUCUUGUCGCGCAUGCGAUGCGAGAUGAACCUUAAAGCAGCCUUUGUGGUCCACUCUUUCGAUGCGCUUGCAUUGAUUUUGUGGCUMAUUGAGUGUUCGCUUGGUGGCAUGGAUAUGGAACCUUGUGUUGGCAUGUGAUCUUUUACUAGAUCAUUGUUUGCCCAAGCUAAGCUUUGUCAAAUACGAUUUCCUAUCAUGUUCUAACGUGGUAGGCAAUAUCGAUUAUGAAUG